CGACCGGCGCACGGGUGCGUAACGCGUAUGCAACCUACCUUUAACAGGGGGAUAACACUGAGAAAUUGGUACUAAUACCCCAUAAUAUCAUAGAAGGCAUCUUUUAUGGUUGAAAAUUCCGAUGGUUAGAGAUGGGCAUGCGUUAUAUUAGCUAGUUGGUGGGGUAACGGCUCACCAAGGCGACGAUACAUAGGGGGACUGAGAGGUUAACCCCCCACACUGGUACUGAGACACGGACCAG
Molecule: ribosomal RNA, 241 nt
Filed under: uncultured bacterium
Lineage: Bacteria
Description: partial 16S ribosomal RNA
Rfam family: Bacterial small subunit ribosomal RNA
Source: RNAcentral